Molecule: ribosomal RNA, 245 nt
Filed under: uncultured bacterium
Lineage: Bacteria
Description: partial 16S ribosomal RNA
Rfam family: Bacterial small subunit ribosomal RNA
Source: RNAcentral
UACGGAGGGUGCAAGCGUUGUUCGGAAUCAUUGGGCGUAAAGAGCGUGUAGGCGGCCAGGUAAGUCAGAUGUGAAAUCCCUUGGCUUAACCAAGGAAGUGCAUUUGAAACUGUCUGGCUUGAGUACGGGAGGGGGAAGUGGAAUUCCCGGUGUAGAGGUGAAAUUCGUAGAUAUCGGGAGGAACACCGGUGGCGAAGGCGGCUUCCUGGACCGAUACUGACGCUGAGACGCGAAAGCGUGGGGAG